This 497-nucleotide ribosomal RNA is filed under the name uncultured bacterium. RNAcentral describes it as "partial 16S ribosomal RNA". It matches the Rfam family "Bacterial small subunit ribosomal RNA", at positions 28 to 507 of the family's 1533-position model. The record is from RNAcentral.
GAUGAACGCUGGCGGCGUGCCUAAUACAUGCAAGUCGAGCGAACAUACCAGGAGCUUGCUCCUCUGACAUUAGCGGCGAGCGGGUGCGUAACACGUGGAUAACCGACCUAUAAGACUGGGAUAACUUCGGGAAACCGUAGCUAAUACCGGAUAAUAUCUUAAAACACAUUAUUCAAUAGUGAAAGACGGUUUUGCUCUCACUUAUAGAUGGAUCCGCGCCGCAUUAGCUAGUUGGUAAGGUAACGGCUUACCAAGGCGACGAUGCGUAGCCGACCUGAGAGGGUGAUCGGCCACACUGGAACUGAGACACGGUCCAGACUCCUACGGGAGGCAGCAGUAGGGAAUCUUCGGCAAUGGGCGAAAGCCUGACGGAGCAACGCCGCGUGAGUGAUGAAGGUCUUCGGAUCGUAAAACUCUGUUAUUAGGGAAGAACAAAUGUGUAAGUAACUAUGCACGUCUUGACGGUACCUAAUCAGAAAGCCACGGCUAACUACGUG